CCUACGGGGGGCAGCAGUGGGGAAUAUUGCACAAUGGGGGAAACCCUGAUGCAGCGACGCCGCGUGAGUGAAGAAGUAAUUCGUUACGUAAAGCUCUAUCAGCAGGGAAGAAAAUGACGGUACCGGAGUAAGAAGCCCCGGCUAACUACGUGCCAGCAGCGGCGGUAAUACGUAGGGGGCAAGCGUUAUCCGGAUUUACUGGGUGUAAAGGGAGCGUAGACGGGGCGCCAAGUCUGGAGUGAAAUGCCGCCGCUUAACUGCGGAACUGCUUUUGAAACUGGCGAACUAGAGUGCGGGAGGGGUAAGCGGACUUCCUAGUGUAGCCGUGACAUGCGUAGAUAUUAGGAGGAACACCGGUGGCGAAGGCGGCUUACUGGACCGUAACUGACGUUGAGGCUCGAAAGCGUGGGGAGCAAACAGGAUUCGAUCCCCGGGUAGUC
Molecule: ribosomal RNA, 440 nt
Filed under: uncultured bacterium
Lineage: Bacteria
Description: partial 16S ribosomal RNA
Rfam family: Bacterial small subunit ribosomal RNA
Source: RNAcentral